Rhizobium etli CFN 42 is the source of this 82-nucleotide non-coding RNA. The record is from Rfam. Lineage: Bacteria; Pseudomonadati; Pseudomonadota; Alphaproteobacteria; Hyphomicrobiales; Rhizobiaceae.
AGACGGAACUCUGGAGAGAAGCGUUCUCGAAACGCUCGCCGAAGGGAUAACAAUCUCAGGCGUCAAGGACAGAGGGGGCUCA